UGUACAUCCACAACAUUCGGGACAUGAAGGUGCUGCAUACGAUCAGGGAGACGCCUCCAAACCCUGCAGGUUCCGCAGAUGAGACAGAUUUUAAAAGUAUUGAUCCCAAACCAAGCUGCCUUCCUACUGAUGCUGGUCAUGUGACCACAUAAACUCAUUGGUUUGAUCAACUUGCAAGUUUGAGGCCUGUGUGCGCUGUCAAUCAACAACGACAACUGCUACUUGGCGUACCCCGGGAGCGCGACCAUCGGAGAGGUGCAGGUCUUCGAUACCAUUAAUUUGAGAGCUGCAAACAUGAUUCCGGCUCACGACAGUCCUUUAGCGGCACUGGCCUUUGACGCAAGUGGAACUAAACUUGCCACGGCUUCGGAGAAGGGGACCGUGAUUAGGGUAUUUUCCAUUCCAGAAGGACAAAAACUCUUUGAGUUUCGGAGAGGAGUAAAGAGGUGUGUGAGCAUCUGCUCCCUGGCCUUCAGCAUGGACGGCAUGUUCCUCUCCGCCUCCAGCAACACUGAGACCGUGCACAUCUUCAAACUCGAGACUGUGAAAGAAAAGUGAGUUGCAAAUAUACGUUUCUUUAAAAAUGAUGCAAAACCCUUUGU
RNAcentral lists this small RNA (602 nucleotides) under Pan troglodytes (chimpanzee). RNAcentral describes it as "processed transcript". The record is from RNAcentral. Lineage: Eukaryota; Metazoa; Chordata; Mammalia; Primates; Hominidae.